CCUUUAUGUGGUGUUUGCCAGUAACAGCUGACUCUACCAAGGUUGCAGCUGGAACUGCAACAUGUCAAAUUGACCUCUAUCCAAGGCCCCAAGGCUUCUCUUAAUGGCUCUAUUCAUCAAGGGCAUGGACCUCUCUGAAUGACCACAAAAGCGAGUGUAUGAAGGUGCAGAUUUAUGGAGCAGCCCAGUCGCUGAUGGCCACAGUCCAUCCUAAAAAAAGUGAUUUGUUCGGAGAUUACAGACACAGAAGACAGAGAGAGAAGCAGUAAUGAUGCCGCGGGCAGAUCAUCACCGUGUGUCUGUGUGAGAGAAAGUCGGUGUCCUUCUGAAUGUGGUCUCUACUUGGACGACCGUCUCUCAGCAGUGCAGCGAUACAGGAGCUAACCAAGGACACUUGGAGAGGGCACCUUCAGUCUCCUCUGCCCAGACCUCCAGCCAUAUGUGGCCUGGUUUGAGCAGCAGUGUUGAUGGGGCUUUUGGCAGAGUGAGAUGGUUCCCCCUCUGUUCUACUUAAUUACCUGUGUGAUGGAGUGGUUCGCCCCCAGCAGGGCCGCUGUGCCGCACCGUGUCAAGGGGCAGGACGGACACGCCGAGCUGACCAGUCUCACCUGCCUCACCUUUCUCUGUCUGUCUUGUCAUAUGAGAUUAAUAAUAAAAUAGCAACAGCCCAAGAGGUGUUUAGUCA
Molecule: long non-coding RNA, 685 nt
Organism: Stegastes partitus (bicolor damselfish)
Lineage: Eukaryota; Metazoa; Chordata; Actinopteri; Pomacentridae
Exons: 3
Source: RefSeq, a predicted model, not a curated record